This 514-nucleotide ribosomal RNA is filed under the name uncultured bacterium. RNAcentral describes it as "bacterial SSU rRNA". It matches the Rfam family "Bacterial small subunit ribosomal RNA", at positions 9 to 518 of the family's 1533-position model. The record is from RNAcentral.
AGGUUCGAUCCUGGCUCAGGAUGAACGCUGGCGGCGUGCCUAACACAUGCAAGUCGAACGAAGCACUUCGGAUUGGAGAUUCGUCAAAGAUCUGAUUUGACUUAGUGGCGGACGGGUGAGUAAUGUAUGAGCAACCUGCCUUUCAGAGGGGGACAACAGUUGGAAACGACUGCUAAUACCGCAUAAUGUAUUUUGGGGGCAUCCCCGGGAUACCAAAGGAGCAAUCCGCUGAAAGAUGGGCUCAUAUCUGAUUAGUUAGUUGGCAGGGUAACGGCCUACCAAGACUGCGAUCAGUAGCCGGACUGAGAGGUUGAACGGCCACAUUGGGACUGAGAUACGGCCCAGACUCCUACGGGAGGCAGCAGUGGGGAAUAUUGGGCAAUGGGCGAAAGCCUCGACCCAGCAACGCCGCGUGAAGGAAGAAGGUCUUCGGAUUGUAAACUUCUUUAUGAGGGACGAAGGACGUGACGGUACCUCAUGAAUAAGCCACGGCUAACUACGUGCCAGCCGCAGC